This 786-nucleotide ribosomal RNA is filed under the name Microbacterium oxydans. Its description in RNAcentral is "bacterial SSU rRNA". It matches the Rfam family "Bacterial small subunit ribosomal RNA", at positions 556 to 1342 of the family's 1533-position model. Lineage: Bacteria; Bacillati; Actinomycetota; Actinomycetes; Micrococcales; Microbacteriaceae. The record is from RNAcentral.
GGGCGUAAGAGCUCGUAGGCGGUUUGUCGCGUCUGCUGUGAAAUCCCUAGGCUCAACCUCGGGCCUGCAGUGGGUACGGGCAGACUAGAGUGCGGUAGGGGAGAUUGGAAUUCCUGGUGUAGCGGUGGAAUGCGCAGAUAUCAGGAGGAACACCGAUGGCGAAGGCAGAUCUCUGGGCCGUAACUGACGCUGAGGAGCGAAAGGGUGGGGAGCAAACAGGCUUAGAUACCCUGGUAGUCCACCCCGUAAACGUUGGGAACUAGUUGUGGGGUCCAUUCCACGGAUUCCGUGACGCAGCUAACGCAUUAAGUUCCCCGCCUGGGGAGUACGGCCGCAAGGCUAAAACUCAAAGGAAUUGACGGGGACCCGCACAAGCGGCGGAGCAUGCGGAUUAAUUCGAUGCAACGCGAAGAACCUUACCAAGGCUUGACAUAUACGAGAACGGGCCAGAAAUGGUCAACUCUUUGGACACUCGUAAACAGGUGGUGCAUGGUUGUCGUCAGCUCGUGUCGUGAGAUGUUGGGUUAAGUCCCGCAACGAGCGCAACCCUCGUUCUAUGUUGCCAGCACGUAAUGGUGGGAACUCAUGGGAUACUGCCGGGGUCAACUCGGAGGAAGGUGGGGAUGACGUCAAAUCAUCAUGCCCCUUAUGUCUUGGGCUUCACGCAUGCUACAAUGGCCGGUACAAAGGGCUGCAAUACCGUGAGGUGUAGCGAAUCCCAAAAGCCGGUCCCAAUUCGGAUUGAAGUCUGCAACUCGACCUCAUGAAGUCGGAGUCGCUAGUAAU